Cygnus olor (mute swan) is the source of this 11447-nucleotide long non-coding RNA. RefSeq lists it as uncharacterized. The record is from RefSeq and is a predicted model, not a curated record. Lineage: Eukaryota; Metazoa; Chordata; Aves; Anseriformes; Anatidae. The transcript has 3 exons.
GAAACCGAGAAAAGCCCCGCUUGAAAGUUGUUUGGUUUGUUUUCCUUGUUUCAAAUUGCAACUUCAUCAUGAUGAAAAACGACAGGAAAUCAAAAUGAACGUUGGAAAGCUGAAAGGGAACUUUAAAGACGGACCUGAAAACAAAAUCCACCUGUAUGGAUAGAGGCAUUUUUCCCCCUGUUUGUUCCUCCCAUAUUAAUCCCUUUAUGCCUAGAGAGAGGAGACGGACCCCGCAAGAGGCAGAGAAGGUCCUCAGCCCCGAUGAGCCACGGGGGCCUGCAGCAGGCAGUGGUGGCCAGUGACAAGUCACAGCCUCUCCUGACCUGGGAGCUCAGGGACAGAAGCCAGCUGAGGACCAAACCCUUCCCAGGGGCUGAUGGAGGAGCUGGGGGAGGCAGCAGCAUCUCGCUCGGCUGCAGCGCGCAGGUAGGAGCAGGGAGGAGGCGACGCCUGAGCCUUUGCCCAUGUUUCUGCUGAGUUGAAAUGCCGGCUCGAGCAGGAGCCGAGGCUCUGCCCGGUGCCAGAUCGCUCACCAGCCAGAUGGCGCCUUCUGAAGCUCUUCCACCUUCAUCCAGGCUUCAAGGGAUGCGGGGAAGGUGUUUGCAGGCAAGUGUCUCUCCCUUUUUUCUUCAGUGAGUUCACAGCCUUGUGGGCAGGUUUGUGCUGGUGUAAGUUCAGAGCAGAGCAUGAUCCGAGCUCAGUUUCUCCUUUCUGUUGGAGAGCAAGUCUGAGUAUUGACGUGAGACCGCCUGCUUCGUGCAGGAACCUCUGUCCUUUUCCCAGCACCUCUUCCGCUGCCUUCCGCCUCGCAUCGGGCAUCCUGCAGGGAGCCAAAGCACUGCCUCACCUCUCCAUCAGUCCUGCGCAGUUGUUGGGGGAAGAAACGAGGAACUGCUUUUGUUUCUGCAAAUUACUUUGGAGAGGGAUUUGUUGGUAUUAUUAUUACUCUUUUUUAUUAUUAUUAUUUUGAGACUUAUGGAAAGUGAGACUUUUAUUUGAGACUCGUGGUAGGCUGGUGUUGGAAACGUGCACAGCAAGGGUGAAAACUGCAUUUGCCAUGCAAUAUGCCUGCGUCGGCCUUUGGUGGAACUAGGACAACACAGAGUAGUAAAACAAAAAGCAGAACGUGUCCAAAGCUUCAGGUUAUGUAAGGAAUUAACUGGUGAGGGAGGGAUGGAGCAAAAUGCCCAUGCCACAAACCUCGAGCUCGGAGAGCAGACGGGGUUUGUGCCCGGGCGUUGCUGUUCCCCCUUCCCAGCCAGGUGAGCACAGAGCUCGGAGGGGGACGGGGUGCGUGCAUGGAUGGCUGGGUUGUGCCACGCGUGCUUGUGUGUCCGUAGGGCUGCCACACCUGGCUGAGCUGGAGACAUCGGCUUCUUUGAGCAGUACCCAGGCUGUGAGCCGGAGCGGAGCCAGCUCUCAGUCCAUCGCCAGGAACAGCUCUUCCCGCUCAGUGUGAUGGGUGCCCGCAGGGAUCGCCGAGAAGGGUGAAAACGUGUUGGGGAGGGAAUAGAGAGAGGAGAGAGGUGGGGGAGAGGCAGUUAAGGAGAGGGAGAGGACUGAGUGAGAAGCAGAAGGAGAAUGCUCGAGGAGGCAGAGAGAUGCGGAAAGGCAGCUCCGGCACGGAAGGAGAAGCACUGGCUGGAGAACCAGCGGAGGGGACAAGCCAGCGCUUGUUAAAGGUCUUUUUGCCUCUUUGUAGGGGUGAUAAUUUGGAAGAUAAGAGCCUGGCAGCAAAGCCUGUCUGGAUGAGAGUGGGAACGUGUCUUCCUUCCCCUUUAAAGAGCAGAGGGAGCCACAAAGCAACCAUAUGGAUUUGCAGCAGGGUUUGCCAACAGCUUCUGCUUUUUUGAGGGCCAGAUCCAAUAAAGGACGUAGUUAGGCACAGUUUUGCCUUCCUUUCAAGCACCUGAAGUAAAGUACAUGCAUUAGGAGGUGGAUCUAAAAUCUCAGUGCUAAAACAGGAAACCUGGGAUGAAUGCUAAAACCCAUGCAUUUCUGAUCAAGUUUGUAGAAAGUCCCAAGACCGCUCCCGAGGGGCUUUUCUUCCAAGAACUGCACAAGGUUCCUUCCUUUCGUCUGAAGGUGUUAUCGCCGUGGUGUGCGUGAGGCCACCUCCCCAGUGGAAAUGUGCUCCAAGGUUUGAGGAGGAAUGAUCUCCUGACAAAGCCGUUCAGAAGGCAGACACGAUCGCAGGCUGUAACGCCAUGGAAAGGGCACAGCAGAAAAGUCAAACGUGUCUUCGGGGAGACAGAGCAAAAUCCUACUGGAAUUAAAGAGAAAUAUAGCCAGCCUUGCAAUGAGAGGCGGCGUGGGUGAUGGCACCUGCUGAAUGGCACAGAGUCACAAACCUGCUGGCCUGAGCACAUCAGGCUCUGAGAUGCCUCCUACACCGACCUGGCUGCAGGGAGGAAUAGGAACAGCCUGAGGGCUUCCCCGCCACCCCUCCGAGAAGCACCAACACCCCUCAGGGCAUCCGUCUGCUGCCUCAGUGCGAAGCAGAGCCAAGAAACGGAACAAAAUCGGAACGGAAAUCAAGGAAAUCAGGCCGCCAGCCUCCCCUUCGAGGGAAUCUGAACCUCUGCAGAGCUGCGAGCCGCGGGCCGUUUGCCUGAUGAAAUGACCAGUGGUUAUUGCUGCCUUCGUGGCCAUGGGAGCUUGGCCCCUGCCAGCUUUGGGGGCAGGGACGGGAAGGUUUUGGGAGCGUGGAAGGGCUCAGUGGGUCUGUAGGAGGGCUGGGGUCAGAGGGGGACAGGCGUUAGCUCCCCCAGAGCAGCCCCUUCUCGGGCACCCGUCUCCUUUUUCUCCUUGUUCCCUCUGACUCACGCUCUGCCAUCCCGGCUCUGCCAGCUCUUCAGCAGCCUCAUCUUUUUCCAGUCUCAGCUCUUGCCUACUAAUGUGUUCCAGGCACAGAAAUUUCAUUAAGGCUGCGCUGAUGUCCAUGGGCUUCAGCCCCAGACUUCGUCAUUACGUGGCUUUUAUUUCAGCCCGCACACAGAUCACCCUCUGGUCCGAGGUGGCGGGAGGAGGUAGGCAAAGCAGAAAAAGAAGCAAACAGCCCACCCCUUCCAUCCGUCCCGGGCUGCCAUCAAGCAGCCAUCCCUGUCCUAAUGAAAACAGAUGCACAGAGAUAAAAACGAAGCAAUAAAGACCACGUUUCACUGGUGCUGUGACAGUGCUUAACCCUGCCAGAGACGAGAGGGAUGGGCUCAGGACUGCUGCCCUGGAAAUGCUGCUCCUCCUCGGGGCUCCCAGCUGGCUUCCCUCGCUGCCUUCACCCCGGGCGCUGACCCCAAUGGUUCAUUUAAUUGGAGGCAUUUGGAAACCGAGUUCUCUCGUUUAGCUCUGUGGAAGGUUUUAAUGUGGGGAUUAUUUAGCCAUUAGCUCAGGCUCUCGGUUUUUCCGGAUUAGGAUUCCAACAAGCUACUUGCCUGAUUAUCCUCAGUGACAUGGACGGGCCUGAGCGGCAGAGCUCGGAGCUGGAGCCAGAUGUAUUUCUCAUUUGGGGAUGUGGCUGAAGGUUUUUUUUUCCCAUCCUGGCCUUUGUUCAGACCCCUGGCACCGAAAAGCAAUCUGUAAUACCCAUCAGCAUCCUCAUCCUCCUAGAAAAGAGAGCUCAGAAAGCGAGUCUGCACUGCCUGGAUACAGCGAGGAGAGGGUUUUAUGUUCCCUCAGUGACAGAAAAAUCCUUGCAGACAUCUGGUAAGAAUCCUAAAGUUUCAGGUGAAUCUGCAGUUCAUGUCCUGUAGUGACAUCAAAUGUGUCUGCAAACUUCUUCCUAGCUGUAGUCUGAGAACAAACUUUCCUCCCUUUCCCAGCGAGCCUGCCCUGCAUCAUUAAUUCAGGCGAGGACGCUGCUGGCUUGCAGGGGUUGUGGCUCUGCUGGGCACAGCUCUGCUACUUGGGGCUGGAGCGGAAAGAGAAGCCUCCGAGACAAGGGCAGGUCAGUCCCUACCCCAGAGAGUCCAGGGAACGUGGAUGCUGGGAAAGCAGAAACUCCAUGUAUCGUUCCUUCUUGGGUGGAAGCUCCUAUCUGCUCCCAGGAAAGCUGCCGUUGAUAUCCACAGACUCACUUGGAAGACUUCGGGAAAGACUCUUUAUAUUUUCUCUCUGUUUUGUUACUGCUGUUCUGAAUUUAAAUCCAAUUACGCUUAUGGAAGCAGUCCAGGGCAAAAAGCUCUUUUCCUUCUAGCAGAAGGAGAUCUGCUCCGGCAUCAGGUGUCUUCAGCUGAGCCCGCAGAGCUCUGAGGAUCACUGCGUGGAGGGCCACGGGUGGCAGGGGGCAUCUGAUUCAGAGCUAAUCGGGGCAGCUUGCAGCAGAAGGAGCAUCCGUCAUCCUUUCCUUACCCUGGGCCACUGCUUGAUGGGUCAGUCAGAUCCAAACACUUUCAGAGGACUUUUUUUUGUAGGAUUUCUUUUGAUGCAAUUUCUUUUCCUCUAAACGACUUCCAUUUAGAAAGGAAAUUUGUAAAACUGAAGCAAGUCCUGUAGGUUAGUAACAGAAACAAAACUCAUUUUUCCUCCGAGAAGACAUACAUUUGGCAAUCCAUGCAGCUCAUCUGCGAGAGACAGAAGCUUCCUAAACAUCCAGCCCCAAAUUCCUCCAAAGCUCAGGCAGCCUUCAACCAGAGAGCUCAUUUUGUUCCUCGUUAGUACAAUCCGAGCUGCAUUUGCUCUGAUGUUCGACCCCUUGGUGCUGGUGGGUGUCAGCUGCAUGCGGUCCGCGGGGAGCUGCGGUCCUGCUGCGGGCGGGUGGCCCUGAGGUCCUCGUCCCGUUGUGUCACCAGAGGGUGGCCGUGAGGAUGAGGGCAUUUGCUGGCUGCUGCUGGCUCUGGCUUUGCUCUGGGUGAGCCCUUUAAAUGCAGUAGCAAUGAGCCUCUGCUGUCAGGCUGGAGGGACGCACCGGGACUGCACCGCCUGCAGCCACCGUGUCUUGCAGGGGGCAGAGGACGGCUCUCUCCUAUCGGAGAACCCAGCGAAGAGCAAAACAAAUAAUCUCCUCUUGCCUUUUUCCAGCCAAAAGGCUUUUGCCAAUUACAACUUGAUAUCCAGGCCAGUUUAAUAUCUGAUAUUUAGAGUGUAUUAUCUGAUCAUGUGAGCUGAGCUCGUGGUUUUCUGUCCCAUCGGCUGGGGCCACACCCGGAGGACGGACGGAGCAUCGCAGGUGGUGGGGAGGCGAUGCCAGAGCUGGGCAUGCACAGCAGAGGUCCCUUCUCUGUCCAGCAGGUCUGGGGAACAGCAACUACAGCCCUCAGGCCGUUCCAGUGCCUGGUGCCUGUCACUUAAAUGAUGCUUGACCUUUUACUGUAGUCCUUAUUUUAUGGUCCUGCUCCCUGCAGGGCCCGCGGGGCUCCAUCCCCACACAGGACGGCUUUCCUCUGUCCAACCCCAUCACGGUUUUGCCCAUCUGAUGCUUCUUUGCCGGCGUCAGCUGUUGUCUGCACGCAUAGGCCGUGUUAGCAUUGAUUCUUCCAGCUGCCAAAGCAGAACAAGGCUUCUGCUUGAGAUGUUUCCCCUUCGUGGAGCUCCCUUUUCACGGACCUUUAGCAGAGGAGGAGGAGAGGGGAUGGGGGAGAGAGGGAGGAAGAGAAGAGGAGGAGGCCGAGUGGUGCGUGCAGCUGAUGGGGAGGUGUCAGACAGGCGCUCCUGAGCACUGCCUGAUGUGACCUACUUCAGUCGUCCUGGGAGAGGUAUUUGUCUUGCAACAGCUCUUUUUGGAGCAAAACAGACUAUGAUCUCAAGGAGCCGCGGGGUAUGAGCCAGGUUUCCAGCGGUGGCUCUGUCCCUACUCCAUGCUCCGCAGGGAGGGGAGCGCCUGAAGGCCUGUCCUGGUCUGGUGUCCCUGCGGCACCGCUCAGUGCCAGGUGGGGACCCGUGGGGACACGGGAAGCAAAGCGAGGGAAAGGUACUGCAGGGUGCUGGUGUUCUCCUGAGCUGCACGUCCUGCCUGGGCUGGCUUUCUGCUGGGACUCUGCAUGGUGGCCAGCUGGGAGGUAAGCUGGCUGGGGGCAGAGGCAGCACAGGACCAGGAGGGCCCGGCCUUUACGGGUACAGGUACUGCUCCGUGAGGGUCAUUAAAGCCUCAGUCAUUAGGCUGUGUGUGCAUAAAGGGCUCAUCUGCAUAGGUCUGCCUAGUGGCCUCGAAUCUUUUCGCAGGCUGAGAACCAGCUCAGACCCCCGGGUUCUCUGGAUCUUUUUGUGCUUCAAGCUGAGGAGCCCGAGCGCUCUCCAGACCUGGGCUCAACGACAUUUUAGUAAGGUUUUCUCCCCUUCCCUCCAAACACAAGGAGGGGAAAGCGUUUUUCCCUUACCCACAGUUUUGGGGAGACGUGAAGACCAGCCAGGGUCACAGGGUUUGUAUUUUAGAGGGGAACCCUGCAGGACUGCACAACCCAAGCAAGCACCUGGCUGCUCCUCGCUCAGACGAAGCCUUGGGACCUGCACCCAGCAGGACACACACCCCUCCGGCUGCCGAGUCAUUUUGUAGUGCCCUUGGCCAGAGAUUUGUCUUCGCCUGUUAGUAUUUUACCUAAUGGUUUGUUACCCUUCUUCCUUCCUCUCUCUCUUUCCCUUUUUUUUCCUCCUUUCCCGGAGCAUUUCGAUGUGCUUUCUGAAUAUAGCUACAUGAAGCAAAUGGCGAUACCAGACUGAUAAAUUAGUGCUGCGUUAGACCCUUGUAUUAGCUCAGGCUAGUGAUUUAGCCCGGUGCAGGAGCUGCUUGCGUUCGCUGUGUUCAUGCACCAAGAGCCAGCAGCUCUCGCAGCGAGCUGACACGUGUGGGCAGUGCCCUUCGCGCCCGGCCCCCGGCGGCACACCGCCGUCGCUUCCUAUUUGUCUAACCCCAGGGCACGCCGGGUGAGCUGGUGCAGGCGAAACCUUUUAAGAGGGGAAAGAAUGGGAAAUGAAAUAUUUACUUUUUGUUUUUACUUGCUUGCGGUGGAAGGAUAUUGAUGCGGCGUAGAUGGAGCAUUAAAAUCAGAAUUAUGCCGGGGAAGAAAAAAAAAAGCCAGGCAUAAAUUAGCGGCGUUUGCUUCCUCUGUGGUUUAAGAGUUAGCAUUACGCCAGCACCAUAUAACAUGCCGGAGAUGUGUUUGGGGAGCUGCCGGGCCAUAAAUCACGGGGAGCAUUUAAAACGACAAGAAGAAAGGCCACCUCGAGAUGGAUGGGUGUCCGGAGCGGGGAUGUCCGAGGGUGACCAUAAACAAGGCAGGAGACGAGGCGGCCGGAGCGGGAGGGGAGUGGGAGCCGGGGGCUGAGGUCAGAGCCGACCGCUCGUGGGACGUGUUGGGGGGAAGCUGGCCUGCAGACGGAGGGGUUGAGAGAAGUACGGGCUGGGGGAUGACAACCCUGCUUCCCACACCUCUGGAUUUCUAAAUUACUUUUGUGUUUUUCCCCCUGUGAAACAGCAAAAUGUUGUAGUAUUCAUUUUCCGCUAAAAAGGUCAAGUUUUCGAUUCUGCUUUCUCCUCCUGAUAAGAACUAGUCAGAAAACCCCAGACCUUGUGUACUUCCUGCAGGAUAUCUUCAUCACGUCUGAGGUGCCCGUACAAAAUCGUUGCCUAACAUGCACGUUGCCAAAAACGCUCAGUGCUGAAGUUCCUUGCCUCCUGUUUCCUCCUGUUGAAGCAUAAUGACAAUCUGUGAUCCUAACCACGGCUGAAUUCACCCCGAGGAGGAGAGGUGCCUUUUCCUCACCCUGACCUGCCCCCGUCCUCCGCCUGAAGAUGCUGCCACGACUCUGAGCACUGCAGGACCCCGAGGGCUUGGUUCAAGGAGCCCUGUUGACUUUACAGGGAUUAUUUUAGGGAACAAUGGUGUGAAACCACUCUCGGCUCUCCGUCCCCUGGAAAUCACAGUUCAAAUGUGCCUGCAGUCAGGGGAGAAAGUUGUCGUGCGGCGGCGGCUCUCACCGGUGCUGCAGCUGCCACGCAAGGUUAGUGAUUUUUUUGGCACGGUCACCAAGCGUGUUCUCACACUUCCAGUAACAAGGAAACAACAAGGGCAUUCGCUCUUUGGAGAAGUGCUUCAGUGGUGCUCUUCACAAAGAGGACCUGAAAAAGAGUGCGAUUCGAGUCAGGUUUGGGAUCGAUACCCAGCCCUGGGGUCAGGCUGGAGUAAUGCUGGGGAUGGAUGGAGAAGGCAGGAGAAGCAGCGAGGGGAAGGACUGGGAGGGCAGCCGUGGAUGGCUCUUCGGAGGAAAAGCAGGGCUCCUUGGCAGGGCUGUGAGGGCUCGUUGGGGGGUGCAUGAUGCAGGCUCGGGAUGGAGACAGCCCGCGUUACUACAGACUGCAAGGAAGCGUGAUCCUGGUGGCCUGGAGUCUCUCAAACCCCAGCCCUUGGCUUUGAGGGUCUGCCUCCCUCAGAAACGCCAGCCCCCUGCGGAAGAGGCAGGCUGUAAGCAGCUCCAAAACCGGGGCUGUCAGCACAGGGAAGCCACUUUAGCAAGGGAUCUGUGAGAUCUCCAGAGGGCCCUGCCUCUCUGCGGAGAGGAAGGCAGAAACUGCUUGCGAGGGUGAUUAAUUCAUCAGCAAAACAUUAAUUAUCCCAGUGACUCCAUUCAUUAACCUCUGAAGUGAGAGGAACUGGCCCCUCUCCAUCUCCAGAGAAAUUUAGCCCCUUCCUGCUUCAGUGCUGGAGUUUCAGGUGCAGAAAAUUAGGUCGGGUACAGGAACCUGUUAAAAAUGGGGCCAUGUGGGGAGCCACCAUCCUGCAAGCAGAAUCAAACACAAGGCCGAAAUCUUGCAGACACCAGUGCACCAUUGUGUCAGCAGGACUUCUGACUUACCCAGACAGGUAGGUCUGAACAGCACGCUUACAGCACAGUUGUUCCCUUAGAAAAACUGUGCUUGAGAUUCCCCAGCUCUGUGCAACCCAGAAAAUAUCCUGCCAGUUGGCCAACAGAAUCCAUGGCUACGUCCCACUGGGAUUGCAGAUAAUCUGCUCUGUAAGAGUUGGUCUGAAGAGAGAUAGGCUUAGGCAUGUAUGUAAAUAUUUCUUUGGCAAAGAACUUCAGUACAAAAACAGUUCAUGUGUGUGGCGUGAUCCUGAAGCUGCCCCUGUGUUUGUAAAAGCCUGCAUCUGUUAGAUAAAAAUAGCGAUGAAGCUUGGAAAAGGAUGGAAGCUGCUCUUCUUCAAAGAGGCGGUGGUUCUGUGCCUGCUCCUGACGCUGGCUGGCUUUCAGCUCGCCCUGCUCCCUCCCUGGGCCUCGGUUUUCUUCCAUGCAAGCUGCUCUACCAUCUAUUAAUUAGAAGUGCUGCAUGAGAGCUGAAAAAUAACAUUAUUUCUGGGAUGCAGCACACCUCUGCCCCAGGGAGACAUAAUGACUGCAUCUGAAGAGCCAUGUGCUGGUGAAAUUAAACUUCGUGAUCUGCUCGAGUCAGGAACGAAUGCAGUUUACAGCUUGCAGCUCAGCAGUGCAUUUUCAGUUGGAGUUAACGCUUCAGACCUCAGUUUCCUCUUAGCUGUGUGUACCUAUAUGUAGGUAUAUGAGCCUUUCUCUUCAUGUGUUGGGUGCCAGCAUCCCCCCUAACUCCAUCCUACCCUGUGUGCUGGAUCGCUGUCGAGUUCCCGGAGUAUGACUGAUCUCUCCUAAGUGCUGGAUCCUGAACUGGAUCCGUCCUGGUUUCAAGAUCCUUUCCAGAAGCCCUAGCGAAGCCAUUCCAGACUUCGAUAAUUUCAUUUUUAAAAAGCUUUCAAUUUCUUUUGACAGGCCUGGAGUGUUUAAAGAUGGCAAAGUGAAGGAGAUAAAUAGAUUAUUGAUCGGACAGGCUUGUAAUUCCUUAGUGAAUUGGAUUUAGCUCCUUCACUGAGAUCGGGUCUCUGCCAUAAAUCUCCCAAGGAAUCAAUAAGAUGGAGAGCGCCUGGUGAGGAGCCCUGCUGCUUGUUUCCAUGGCCACAGGUAGGGGCUGGGAGCAAGCCUCCCACCAGCGGGGGGGGGCAGGAACCUGGAGCCACGCGUCUCCGCCGAGCUGACCUUGGCAAAUGGUUGUUCCGAUGGCACCGAAGUGCUGAUGGCAUCAGGAACUGCGGUGCGGGGCUGCAGAGGCAUCGCCCACAGGGCCUGUGUUUGUCACACCGCGGUAACGCCGCCUGCCAUCGGCGCUGUAACGAGUUACCCUGGCGUCAAGCAGCAGCUGUGCUGCAGAGGCUGCAGGUACACGACCUGGCUUCCAGGUGCCUCUGCGCCAGGAUGGAUUGCUGCCAGCAGGUGCAGGUGCUGCCGUCCGUGCCAUGUCCCCUCCAGGCUCCGAGGCACGGCGGCCGGGUGCUCGAGUCCCACCCGCCUCCAACCUGGGGGCAGCUCCAGAGCCUUCCCUGCUGGGCUGGGCAAGGGCUCGGACCGUGGUUGGAAAGGCAGAGGGAGCUGCCAGCAGCGAGGAUGCCAAAAAGCCCAAACUUCUGUGAACUCCCUCAUGUAGCUCACAGUGCCAGGGCAUAAAACGAGCUGCAGCCUUUUCGGUUUGCCUCAAGGGUCUGCGCGCCUGGCACCGGCACGGGGUCUGCGGCUGCUGAGAGCUGUGUGCCAGCCAGUGCUUCACCCUCGGGGACAGCAAGAGGGUUAGGGCUCAGAGCCCAUUGUCCGCAAAAGGCUUCGUGGUCUGUUGGCUUGAAAUGAUUGUAGGUUUGGGGCUGGAAGUUUGUGGAUAUCUGGGUUGAGAACACAUGAAGUCCUAUAUGGUGUGCUCCUGCGAUGGUGUGCAGGUCAGUGUCAUUCCCCAUCCUCCCCCAAAUCGGUACAUUCAGAGCAGAGAGACAACAACGACUUCCCCAAAAUUAUUCAUGAGCAAACCUGUCGUCACAUUUAAUAGAUGAAUGAAAUCAAUGCUCAUUUAUAUAAAUGCCAUCAGAACACGCAAAAUAUCCACCUUCCAGACAGCAUUUUGUCCCAGGCAGGUGUCCCUUCUCCCUCGAGUCCUCAUCAGCCCCUCUGUCCUUGCACAGCUGAGCUCUUUGGGCUGUCUGUGGCUUUUCCCAGAAGUUCAGCCACUUUGCAGAGCCCCCCGGAGCCUCGGGCCUCAGCAGAGCGGGCUGGAGGUCUUCCAAAGCCGGGCUGAGUUGGGAGAGCUCCAGUACUCCGUGUUUCCAACCGAGCUGGCAAGAGACAAAAUAGCUUUUUUCACUCUAUUUCAUUCUCCUUCUGGUUCUGGCUGUACCCCAAAAGGCAGAGAGGCAAUGAAAGGGAUAGGAGGAGGAAAUCAGCCGGGUCUUUCCGCUCUUGAAGGAAGAACCUGUGGUCCUCGAGUUUGGAUCUGGUAUGGGGAGCGUGUAAGGGAUGUCUGCCCACCUUGCUCACGUGUUGUAACUAAGAGGCAUUUUAUUUAGAGCCAGUAAAAAAAUAAAUGUUGGUUUCCUAUCUGCCAUAGGAAACAAAUAUAGAAUCUGUCUUUUUUUCUGGUUUCAAGGAAAAAAAUCCAAAAAUCUGUCAUCGGGAGCAUUUAGGGGGUUGAG